GAUGAACGCUGGCGGCGUGCCUAAUACAUGCAAGUCGAGCGAACAGACGAGGAGCUUGCUCCUCUGACGUUAGCGGCGAACGGGUGAGUAACACGUGGAUAACCUACCUAUAAGACUGGGAUAACUUCGGGAAACCGGAGCUAAUACCGGAUAAUAUAUUGAACCGCAUGGUUCAAUAGUGAAAGACGGUUUUGCUGUCGCUUAUAGAUGGAUCCGCGCCGCAUUAGCUAGUUGGUAAGGUAACGGCUUACCAAGGCAACGAUGCGUAGCCGACCUGAGAGGGUGAUCGGCCACACUGGAACUGAGACACGGUCCAGACUCCUACGGGAGGCAGCAGUAGGGAAUCUUCCGCAAUGGGCGAAAGCCUGACGGAGCAACGCCGCGUGAGUGAUGAAGGUCUUCGGAUCGUAAAACUCUGUUAUUAGGGAAGAACAAAUGUGUAAGUAACUAUGCACGUCUUGACGGUACCUAAUCAGAAAGCCACGGCUAACUACGUG
Molecule: ribosomal RNA, 497 nt
Filed under: uncultured bacterium
Lineage: Bacteria
Description: partial 16S ribosomal RNA
Rfam family: Bacterial small subunit ribosomal RNA
Source: RNAcentral